Salvia miltiorrhiza (redroot sage) is the source of this 1881-nucleotide long non-coding RNA. RefSeq lists it as uncharacterized. The transcript is spliced from 3 exons. Lineage: Eukaryota; Viridiplantae; Streptophyta; Magnoliopsida; Lamiales; Lamiaceae. The record is from RefSeq and is a predicted model, not a curated record.
UUUAUUUAUUCUUAUUUUUCACUUUUUCACCACUCCCAAUACUAAUUAUAACACAUUUUCACAUUUUCACCACUCUCAAUACUAAUUAUAACAUAUUUUUCUCCACUAUCAAUACACUUUACCACUUUUCCUUAAAACUCGUAUCGUCCCCAAAGAGGAACUCAUUUUGGGGACGAAGGGAGUAUAUAAUAUAUAUUACCAAUUCUAAUAUAACCUGCCGAUUUGUGUGAAAAAAGGGCAUAUAGGGUAUUAUAUCAUCAACUGCAAUUAAAGAUUUCUUUAUAUCCCUGAUUUACCACGUUGAUUGAUGGAAAGUAAAAUUAUUCAUAGGUGAAAAUUGCGUCUCUUCAACGCCAUUUCACCUUUCACCUUCUUCUCUCUUUUUGUCUGCCAUAACCGAGAAAAAAGCUGUUCAUCUACCGCCAAGGAAGAAAUCGUGAGAUCUGACCAUUCAAAUCGAUGGGAGUUCCGGUCAUCGAACAAGAUGAGGACUGUGUCGGGAUUAAUCGGGAAGAGAGCGUCAGGCCAUUGUCGUAAGCAUCGAUUUAAAUGUUCAUGUAUCUAUUUUGGUUGUUCAUGUUUGUGUGUGGAUAUGACAAUCUUUGUUCAUUUUGGUAAUUAUACAUACUAUUGUUCACGAUAUAUGUUUGUUGUUCAUAAAAGUGAGGUUGUUCAUGUAUCUUGUUCGUGUGAAUAUUUAAGUAUAACUAAAUAUAUCAUUGUUCAUGUUUGUUGUUCGUGUGACUAUUUUAAGUAUUACUAAUUAUAAUUUUGUUCAUGUCUUUUGUUCGUGUGAAUAAUUUAAGUAUUGCUAAAUAUAACUUUGGUAAUGUCUUUGUUACGAUACGAAUAUAAUUUAAGGGUAGUUGGUAUGCUCAUGUAUGUUGUUUGCGUGAAUAUUUUUUUAAGCAUUACUACAUAUAACUUUGUUCAUGUAUUUGGUUGGAUAUGUACAUGGCAACUGUUCAAGAAAGGUGGCAUUGUUCAUGUUUCUUUUUUCUUGUUCAUGUCACAACAAGACCACCGAAUCCAAAAAUUAUCUUGCAAAAUAAGUUAAUAGAGGCAGAGCAAAAAGGUAUGCAUUAAGUAACGAUGAGUUAAUACACUUUUUUAUUUUGCAAAACUAACUUAUGACUAUUCCCAGCAACAAAGUGGAGAAAUAGAAUGUUAAGAAAGAUAAAGUUGUGUCGUGAAUAUAUGGCUAAAAAAGCAAGACUUGAAGUAGGUAUUUUUUGGGCUUUUGUUGUUAAUGGUAACCUUUUUCAAAUGUAUACAUAGCUGAACAUAAUUCUUACACUGUGAACAUGAGACGAUUCGACUAGAAACGAGCAUGAUAUCGUUAAAGAUACUAAGGAUGGAGGUGGAGAGGUUGCGGCUGGACAAGAUGACAAUGAAGAUGAUGGUUCACCUACAUUUCAAAGAAAGAGGACGCAGAGUGCCACUCGUCAGCCCUUAAAGAACAACUUCCCACAGGUUAUCUGAUGUGUUCGUGGUUUCAUUUCAGCAAUGCUUAUUGCGUUAUGCUUCGUAUGUAAAAUAUUUUCGAGUGUGCUAUGCUUAGUAUUUGUCUUAAGUUCUUAUGUUUGCAUUGGUAUAAAGUAUAUAUGUUAUUGUUCAUGCAUGUUAUGUAAAAUAUUUUCAAGUGUGUCACUUGUUUAAUGAAUGUUACAGUUGCCAUAUUCAUUUUAAAUAAUAUAUGAUCAUAGGGUUCGAACUUGUGGCCAUGGAUUAUAUAUGAUUCAUUUAAUAAUAUUAAUUACUACUUGGUGUAUAUGAAAAGAAAAAGAGCAAUGCGUGGAGAGGUCUGAAACUGAUAAGACGGAGGGUGGUACGUCUAGUAAGCGUAUACGUUACACACGCGAAGAAGAAGAAAAUGGAGUA